UUGUGAUUCUUGAGCCCGUAAACCCAGUCUUCCACCGUACGCCUCCGUCGCCCAAAAGUCCAAACCCUAAACCCCACGAAGAGGCCAAAACACUCCAAACCCAAAACCGAGGAAGCGAUUUCCUGCCCCCAUUCCCUAUUUCUCCUUCCUCUCUUCAAUCCGCUUCCAUCAAUCAUCCAUGGCGGAGCAAAAUCAAUAGAUGGAUACCGGAAUAGGAUCCGCAACCUAGACCCGUGCAAUCGCUCCUGCACCAACCGGAGGAGGUGAACCCGAAGCCGGGGAGGAGGGACCGGAGGGUCGCGGGGCAAGAUGAGCACGGUGGACAAGAUGCUCAUCAAGGGCAUCCGGAGCUUCGACCCGGACAACAAGAACGUCAUCACCUUCUUCAAGCCGCUCACCCUCAUCGUCGGCCCCAACGGCGCCGGCAAGACCACUAUCAUCGAGUGCCUGAAGCUGUCCUGCACCGGCGAGCUGCCCCCCAACUCGCGCUCCGGCCACACCUUCGUGCAUGACCCUAAGGUAGCUGGUGAGACGGAAACAAAAGGGCAGAUUAAGCUGCGGUUUAAGACUGCAGCAGGAAAGGAUGUGGUGUGCAUCCGAUCCUUCCAGCUUACCCAAAAGGCAUCAAAGAUGGAGUUUAAGGCAAUCGAAAGCAUUCUCCAGACUAUAAAUCCACACACGGGCGAGAAGGUCUGCCUCAGCUACAGAUGUGCUGACAUGGAUAGAGAGAUUCCAGCCUUAAUGGGUGUUUCAAAGGCUGUACUAGAGAAUGUUAUAUUUGUCCACCAAGAUGAGUCCAAUUGGCCAUUGCAGGAUCCGUCAACGCUUAAGAAGAAGUUUGAUGACAUUUUCUCUGCUACUCGGUAUACCAAAGCUCUUGAAGUCAUAAAGAAACUUCACAAGGAUCAAGCACAAGAGAUCAAGAAUUUUAGGUUGAAACUGGAGAACCUUCAGACUGUAAAAGACCAAGCAUAUAAGCUCCGUGAAAAUAUUGCUCAAGAUGAAGAGAAGUCAGAUGCCUCAAAAUCUCAAAUGGAGCAACUGAAGGCAAAGAUCCAAGGUAUCGAGAAUGAAAUCCUGCAUAUGAAAACAAAUUUGGAUGAACUGAGAAGACUUCAGGGGCAAAUUAGCACCAAGGCAACGGAGAGAAGUACAUUAUUUACACUUCAGCAGCAGCAGUAUGCUGCACUUUCUGAGGAAAAUGAAGAUACUGAUGAAGAACUAAUGGAAUGGCAAGCAAAAUUUGAAGAAAGGAUUGCACUACUAGAAACAAAAAUCAGUAAAUUAGGUAGAGAGAUGGAUGAUGAAGCAGCGGAGACCUCCAGGCUGUCCCAUACAAUCUCUGUUUUAACACGUGAAAUAGGAAAGCUCCAAGCUGAAGCUGAUGCUCACAUGUCUAUUAAGCAGGAACGAGACUCAGACAUCAAAAGGAUAUUCACCAAACAUAAUUUUGGGCCAGUUCCUGAAUUUCCCUUUACAAAUGAUGUUGCUAUGAACCUUACAAACAGGAUUAAAGCUAGGCUCUCAGAUCUUGAGAAUGAUUUGCAGGAGAAGAAGAAAUCCAAUGACGACCAGUUAGAUGUUUUGUGGAAACACUAUCUUAAAGUAAAUGCUCGCUACUCUGAAGUUGAUGGUCAGAUACAGUCUAAGAUUGAAUCCAUGUCAGGUCUUUCAAGGCGCACUAAAGAUAAAGAGAAAGAACGUGAUGCUGCAGAAGUGGAGCUUUCAAAAAUUAAUCUGUCUCGUCUUGAUGAAAGGGAGAGACAUUUGCAAAUUGAAGUUGAGAGGAAGACACUUGCCCUUGGAGAAAGAGACUAUGAUUUAAUUAUAAAUCAGAAGCGGACAGAUAUAUUCAGUUUGGAACAUAAAAUAAAAACACUUCAGCGGGAGAAAGAUAACAUAAAUAGAGAUGCUGACGACAGAGUAAAACUGGGUUUGAAGAAGGAUGCAUUGGAAACCAUCAAGGAGAAGCUCAAUGAGAUGGUUAAUGAGCACAAGGACAAAAUCAGAAGUGUACUUAGGGGUAGGCUUCCAGCUGAGAAGGAUAUGAAGAAGGAGAUCAGUCAAGCUUUUUGGCCUGUUGACAAGGAAUACAAUGAGUUAAAAUCAAAAUCCCUGGAAGCAGAGCAAGAGUUUAAAUUGGCUCAGAGCAAGGUGUCUGAUGCUAAAGAACAAUUAACAAAGCUUCAAAAAGAUUUGGAUGCAAAGAGGAGAUUCCUGGAUUCGAAGCUUCAAUCUAUUUCACAGAUAUCUGCUGACGUUGACAUGUUUCCCAAAGUUCUGCAAGAUGCCAAGAACAAAAGAGAUGAACAGAAAAGAUUAGAGAGUUAUGCAAAUGGAAUGCGGCAGAUGUUUGUACCUUUUGAACAAGUGGCUCGUGAUCGUCAUGUAUGUCCAUGCUGCGAACGUGCUUUUACACCUGAUGAGGAGGAUGAGUUUGUAAAGAAACAAAGGAUGCAGAGCGCAAGUACUGCAGAGAGAGUUAAAGCUCUGGCAAUUGAAUCCUCAGAUGCUGAAACUUUUCUUCAGCAACUGGAUAAACUUCGUACUAUCUAUGAUGAUUAUAAGAAGCUGUUAGAAGAGACUAUACCUCUAGCAGAGAAGAACUUGAAUCAACGUUUAGCGGAUGAAAGUCAGAAGGAACAAACAUUUGAUGAUCUUUUGGGUGUUCUUGCUCAAGUUAAAAUGGACAGGGAUGCAGUGGAAGCCUUGUUAAAACCAACUGAUACUAUUGACAGGCAUGUACGUGAAAUACAACAGCUUGUCCAAGAAGUAGAAGAUCUUGAAUACAAACUUGAUUCUCUUGGCCAAGGUGUUAAAUCUUUGGAGGAAAUUCAACUGGAGCUGAAUUCUGUGCAGAGGGCAAGGGACACAUUGAGUAUUGAAGUGGAUGAUCUUAGGGAUCAGCACAGAACACUAAAUGAUGAUUUGGCAAGUGCUCAGGUGAGAUGGCACACUGUUCGGGAAGAGAAGAUAAAAGCUUCACACAUAUUGGACAGAUUCAAAGAAGCUGAAGCGGAAUUGGUGCAUCUAGCUGAGGAAAAAGAACAACUGACCAUAGAAAAGAAGCUUUUAGAAGAGUCUCUUGAUCCAUUGUCUAAAGAGAAAGAGAGCUUGUUGCAAGACUAUAAUGCUUUGAAGCAAAGGUUUGAUGAAGAAUAUCAUCGGCUGGCAGAAAGAAAAAGGGUCUUCCAGCAAGAACUUGAUGCACUCGGAAGACUCAAUCUGAAGAUCAAAGAAUAUUUGGAUUCCAAGAAAGUGGAAAGGCUUAAUGAGAUUCAGGAAAAGCAUUCUCUUAAGCAAUCCGAGUUACAGAAUUGUGAGGCAAAAAAGCAAGCCAUAUCAGUUGAAUUAAACAAGAGCAAAGAACUACUGCAGGGUCAGGGCCAGUUGAAAAGAAAUAUUGAUGACAAUCUCAGCUACAGGAAAACAAAGGCUGAAGUGGAUCGACUUACUCGUGAUAUAGAGUCACUUGAAGAGAGAAUGCUUUCAAUAGGCAGCUCGUCUGCUAUAGAAGCUGAUCUGAAGCGUCAUUCUCAAGAAAGAGAUAGGCUUAAUUCAGAGUUUAACAGGUGUCAAGGAACACUUUCUGUCUAUCAAAGUAAUAUUUUAAAGCACAAGCAAGAGCUUAAACAGACGCAGUACAAAGAUAUCGAGAAGCGAUACACUAGUCAACUUCUACAACUUAAGACAACUGAAAUGGCAAACAAGGACUUGGACAGAUAUUAUUCCGCUUUAGACAGAGCUCUCAUGCGUUUCCACACUAUGAAGAUGGAGGAGAUUAAUAAAAUAAUCAAGGAACUGUGGCAGCAGACAUACAGAGGCCAAGAUAUCGAUUACAUAAGCAUCAAUUCUGAUUCUGAGGGUGCUGGCACUCGAUCGUACAGCUACCGGGUUGUUAUGCAAACGGGUGAUGCUGAGCUAGAAAUGCGAGGGCGAUGCAGUGCUGGACAGAAGAGCCAUAUCUUACAACGAUAUCUGCACUCAUCUUCAGGUGCUUGCUUCUCUUAUAAUCAGACUAGCACUGGCGGAGACAUUCUGUCUGAACUGUGGCAUAUUGGCAUUGGAUGAGCCGACUACGAAUCUAGAUGGCCCAAAUGCCGAGAGCCUUGCGGCUGCGCUGUUGAGAAUAAUGGAGGCCAGAAAAGGGCAGGAGAACUUCCAGCUGAUCGUAAUCACUCACGACGAGAGGUUCGCCCAUCUUAUUGGUCAAAGGCAGCUUGCUGAGAAGUACUAUCGAGUCUCCAAGGAUGAAAACCAGCACAGCAUAAUUGAAGCCCAAGAGAUAUUUGACUGAAGCACAUACAUAUAUUUCCAACCGAGUGCUGUUAAUUUAUGCUAAAGGUUGGUGCGAAAGCAAGGUUAAGGUCGGAGAAUUAACAAGCUGUAGGGGGUGUGACAAUUAACUUGCGAGUUUGGCUGCGCUGGCUUUGCUUUGUUGUGUAUAGAAACUGGCUAGAGGAUGGACUGUACGCACCGAGUGCUGCUGCAUACAAGUGCCUCAGCAUCAAAGAACAUAUAGCAAUUUAAUGCAUUAGAUUUAGCUCCGUUUUUUCCCCUCU
Panicum hallii is the source of this 4562-nucleotide RNA transcript. It is a transcript of the gene named DNA repair protein RAD50, with no coding region annotated. NCBI's taxonomy places the organism in Eukaryota, Viridiplantae, Streptophyta, Magnoliopsida, Poales, Poaceae. The record is from RefSeq and is a predicted model, not a curated record. The transcript has 27 exons.